This 512-nucleotide ribosomal RNA is filed under the name uncultured bacterium. RNAcentral describes it as "partial 16S ribosomal RNA". It matches the Rfam family "Bacterial small subunit ribosomal RNA", at positions 28 to 523 of the family's 1533-position model. The record is from RNAcentral.
GACGAACGCUGGCGGCGUGCUUAACACAUGCAAGUCGAGCGAAUGGAAGGGAGCUUGCUCCCUGAAGUUAGCGGCGGACGGGUGAGUAACACGUGGGCAACCUGCCUGUAAGACUGGGAUAACUUCGGGAAACCGGAGCUAAUACCGGAUACGUUCUUUCCUCGCAUGAGGAAAGAUGGAAAGAUGGUUUCGGCUAUCACUUUCAGAUGGGCCCGCGGCGCAUUAGCUAGUUGGUGGGGUAAUGGCCUACCAAGGCGACGAUGCGUAGCCGACCUGAGAGGGUGAUCGGCCACACUGGGACUGAGACACGGCCCAGACUCCUACGGGAGGCAGCAGUAGGGAAUCUUCCGCAAUGGACGAAAGUCUGACGGAGCAACGCCGCGUGAGCGAAGAAGGCCUUCGGGUCGUAAAGCUCUGUUGUCAGGGAAGAACAAGUGCCAGAGUAACUGCUGGCACCUUGACGGUACCUGACCAGAAAGCCACGGCUAACUACGUGCCAGCCGCCGCCGUAA